GAGUUUGAUCGUGGCUCAGAUUGAACGCUGGCGGCAUGCUUUACACAUGCAAGUCGAGCGGCAGCGCGGGGGCAACCCUGGCGGCGAGCGGCGAACGGGUGAGUAAUGCAUCGGAACGUGUCCUGGAGUGGGGGAUAACCCGGCGAAAGCCGGGCUAAUACCGCAUACGCUCUACGGAGGAAAGCGGGGGACCGCAAGGCCUCGCGCUCAAGGAGCGGCCGAUGUCCGAUUAGCUAGUUGGUGGGGUAAAGGCCCACCAAGGCGACGAUCGGUAGCUGGUCUGAGAGGAUGAUCAGCCACACUGGGACUGAGACACGGCCCAGACUCCUACGGGAGGCAGCAGUGGGGAAUUUUGGACAAUGGGGGCAACCCUGAUCCAGCCAUGCCGCGUGCGGGAAGAAGGCCU
Molecule: ribosomal RNA, 406 nt
Filed under: uncultured beta proteobacterium
Lineage: Bacteria; Pseudomonadati; Pseudomonadota; Betaproteobacteria
Description: bacterial SSU rRNA
Rfam family: Bacterial small subunit ribosomal RNA
Source: RNAcentral